Molecule: transfer RNA, 77 nt
Filed under: Candidatus Doudnaibacteriota bacterium
Lineage: Bacteria; Candidatus Doudnaibacteriota
Description: Candidatus Doudnabacteria bacterium tRNA-Phe
Rfam family: tRNA
About the family: Transfer RNA (tRNA) molecules are approximately 80 nucleotides in length. Their secondary structure includes four short double-helical elements and three loops (D, anti-codon, and T loops). Further hydrogen bonds mediate the characteristic L-shaped molecular structure. tRNAs have two regions of fundamental functional importance: the anti-codon, which is responsible for specific mRNA codon recognition, and the 3' end, to which the tRNAs corresponding amino acid is attached (by aminoacyl-tRNA synthetases). tRNAs cope with the degeneracy of the genetic code in two manners: having more than one tRNA (with a specific anti-codon) for a particular amino acid; and 'wobble' base-pairing, i.e. permitting non-standard base-pairing at the 3rd anti-codon position.
Source: RNAcentral
GCCGGAGUAGCUCAGUGGUUUAGAGCGCUGCCCUGAAGAGGCAGGCGUCGGCAGUUCGAUUCUGCCCUCCGGCACCA